GACGAACGCUGGCGGCGUGCUUAACACAUGCAAGUCAAGGGGGCCCGCAAGGGCAACCGGCGAACGGGUGCGUAACACGUGAGCAACCUGCCUUCGUGAGGGGGAUAGCCGGCCCAACGGCCGGGUAAUACCGCAUACGAUCUUUGGGGGGAGUCCCCUGGAGAGGAAACUUUCGAGGCACGAAGAGGGGCUCGCGGCCUAUCAGCUAGUUGGCGGGGUAAUGGCCCACCAAGGCGACGACGGGUAGCUGGUCUGAGAGGAUGGCCAGCC
This 270-nucleotide ribosomal RNA is filed under the name uncultured bacterium. RNAcentral's name for it is "partial 16S ribosomal RNA". It matches the Rfam family "Bacterial small subunit ribosomal RNA", at positions 28 to 309 of the family's 1533-position model. The record is from RNAcentral.